RNAcentral lists this ribosomal RNA (505 nucleotides) under uncultured bacterium. Its description in RNAcentral is "partial 16S ribosomal RNA". It matches the Rfam family "Bacterial small subunit ribosomal RNA", at positions 29 to 523 of the family's 1533-position model. The record is from RNAcentral.
AUUGAACGCUGGCGGCAGGCCUAACACAUGCAAGUCGAACGGCAGCGGGGGAUAGCUUGCUAUCCUGCCGGCGAGUGGCGGACGGGUGAGUAAUGCAUGGGGAGCUGCCCAGUCGAGGGGGAUAACAACUGGAAACGGUUGCUAAUACCGCAUACGCCCUAAGGGGGAAAGGUGGGGAACUUCGGUCCUACCGCGAUUGGAUGCGCCCAUGUGGGAUUAGCUAGUUGGUGAGGUAACGGCUCACCAAGGCGACGAUCUCUAGCUGGUCUGGGAGAAUGACCAGCCACACUGGAACUGGGCAACGGUCCAGACUCCUACGGGAGGCAGCAGUGGGGAAUAUUGCACAAGGGGGGAAACCCUGAUGCAGCCAUGCCGCGUGUGUGAAGAAGGCCUUCGGGUUGUAAAGCACUUUCAGUCAGGAGGAAGGGGUGAUGGCUAAUAUCCAUCAUCAUUGACGUUACUGACAGAGGAAGCACCGGCUAACUCCGUGCAGCCGCCGCCGUAA